RNAcentral lists this unclassified non-coding RNA (339 nucleotides) under fungal sp. RNAcentral describes it as "partial internal transcribed spacer region". The stretch from base 1 to 46 matches the Rfam family "Eukaryotic small subunit ribosomal RNA", at positions 1786 to 1831 of the family's 1831-position model. The record is from RNAcentral. Lineage: Eukaryota; Fungi.
AAGUCGUAACAAGGUAACCGUAGGUGAACCUGCGGUUGGAUCAUUACCAAUUUCGGUGGUGAUGGGGGGCCAAAUACCCCCAAUCACUUAAAAACACCGUCAAACCUUUUGUGAACUCGUAAUUGUCUUUGGUGGAUAGUGUCUCUAAUUGAGGAGUGCUCUAAAGCUGGUGCUAUAAAUUGCCCUUUAAUUGGGGAAUUAAGAUUAGCAAUUCCAGGCCACCUAUUAUGAACCAACCUUACUGUUUUUAAUUAUUUUGGUCUUUUAUAAUUUGCCUCUAAUUUAUUAGAGUUGAAUACAAAUUGAAAACAACUUUUGGCAACGGAUCUCUUGGCUCUC